UAUAAUGCAGUCGAACGCACAGCGAAAGGUGCUUGCACCUUUCAAGUGAGUGGCGAACGGGUGAGUAACACGUGGACAACCUGCCUCAAGGCUGGGGAUAACAUUUGGAAACAGAUGCUAAUACCGAAUAAAACUUAGUAUCGCAUGAUACCAGGUUAAAAGGCGCUACGGCGUCACCUAGAGAUGGAUCCGCGGUGCAUUAGUUAGUUGGUGGGGUAAAGGCCUACCAAGACAAUGAUGCAUAGCCGAGUUGAGAGACUGAUCGGCCACAUUGGGACUGAGACACGGCCCAAACUCCUACGGGAGGCUGCAGUAGGGAAUCUUCCACAAUGGGCGAAAGCCUGAUGGAGCAACGCCGCGUGUGUGAUGAAGGCUUUCGGGUCGUAAAGCACUGUUGUAUGGGAAGAAAAGUUAAGGUAGGGAAUGACCUUAGCCUGACGGUACCAUACCAGAAAGGGACGGCUAAAUACGUGCCAGCAGCCGCGGUAAUACGUAUGUCCCGAGCGUUAUCCGGAUUUAUUGGGCGUAAAGCGAGCGCAGACGGUUGGUUAAGUCUGAUGUGAAAGCCCGGAGCUCAACUCCGGAAAGGCAUUGGAAACUGGUUAACUUGAGUGCAGUAGAGGUAAGUGGAACUCCAUGUGUAGCGGUGGAAUGCGUAGAUAUAUGGAAGAACACCAGCGGCGAAGGCGGCUUACUGGACUGUAACUGACGUUGAGGCUCGAAAGUGUGGGUAGCAAACAGGAUUAGAUACCCUGGUAGUCCACACCGUAAACGAUGAACACUAGGUGUUAGGAGGUUUCCGCCUCUUAGUGCCGAAGCUAACGCAUUAAGUGUUCCGCCUGGGGAGUACGACCGCAAGGUUGAAACUCAAAGGAAUUGACGGGACCCGCACAAGCGU
This 898-nucleotide ribosomal RNA is filed under the name Leuconostoc carnosum. RNAcentral describes it as "bacterial SSU rRNA". It matches the Rfam family "Bacterial small subunit ribosomal RNA", at positions 52 to 932 of the family's 1533-position model. Lineage: Bacteria; Bacillati; Bacillota; Bacilli; Lactobacillales; Lactobacillaceae. The record is from RNAcentral.